CUUAAUAAAAGCAUUAACAAACUUCUCAAAGAACAAACCCUGAUUAACAGCGAAAUCAUUAACCAAACCCUUCGUCCUCGAAUCAAUGUUCAAAUCUUGGUCGGAAGUGAACAAACCUUGUUUGUUCAUCAAAUCAAGGUAGUAUUUGUUGUCGAAUGUUGCCGGGGUCCUUAUGUCUAGGUUUGCAGUGUUACCUGAAUUUGCAUUAGGGCAAGUGUUUUUAAGGUUUUGAGCUAGGGU
Molecule: long non-coding RNA, 240 nt
Filed under: Medicago truncatula (barrel medic)
Lineage: Eukaryota; Viridiplantae; Streptophyta; Magnoliopsida; Fabales; Fabaceae
Description: long non-coding RNA (MTRU_LNC004083)
Source: RNAcentral